CGGACCGGCGCACGGGUGAGUAACGCGUAUGCAACUUACCUAUCAGAGGGGGAUAACCCGGCGAAAGUCGGACUAAUACCGCAUGAAGCAGGGGCCCCGCAUGGGGAUAUUUGCUAAAGAUUCAUCGCUGAUAGAUAGGCAUGCGUUCCAUUAGGCAGUUGGCGGGGUAACGGCCCACCAAACCGACGAUGGAUAGGGGUUCUGAGAGGAGGGUCCCCCACAUUGGUACUGAGACACGGACCAA
This 244-nucleotide ribosomal RNA is filed under the name uncultured bacterium. Its description in RNAcentral is "partial 16S ribosomal RNA". It matches the Rfam family "Bacterial small subunit ribosomal RNA", at positions 91 to 334 of the family's 1533-position model. The record is from RNAcentral.